Lycium barbarum (goji berry) is the source of this 1529-nucleotide long non-coding RNA. RefSeq lists it as uncharacterized. The transcript has 4 exons. The record is from RefSeq and is a predicted model, not a curated record. NCBI's taxonomy places the organism in Eukaryota, Viridiplantae, Streptophyta, Magnoliopsida, Solanales, Solanaceae.
UAAUAAAAAAAUCUUAUCAAUUCAUUUAUUAAAUUUACCGACCUCAUGAAAUCGGUAAAUUUAAUAAAAAUCUAAACCCUCCUUCUUCUUUUACCUCAUUUUUACUUUUGUCCCUCUUAAAAAUCUAAACCCCCGUCUCUCUCUCUUUCCCUUUCUCCACCGCCCUCUAGCCAGAUCCGUCGCCACCCAGCCAGGUCUGGCAUCCAGUACGCCGUCGCCAACAUCUAUUCCAGAUCUAGUUCCUGGUGAUUUUGUCCAUGUCAUUGGAGAUGCUCAUGUUUAUCGUAAUCAUGUCAGACCUCUACAAGACCAGCUUCAGAAGUUUCCCAGACCUUUCCCAGUGCUGAAGAUCAAUCCGCAGAAAAAGGAUAUAGAUUCCUUUGUUGCUGCUGACUUUAAUCUUGUUGGUUAUGAUCCUCACCAGAAAAUAGAAAUGAAGAUGGCAAUAUGAAGUGCCAUGGAAUCAGUCCUGGAAUUCCUCUGCUCUUACAAUAAGUUGCUUUUAUUUUGAGGCAAGUGAUGGAAUUUCCCAUCUUCUGUUUUCUUCUCUCUUCGGUACUUACAUGACCUAAUUUUUUUUAAUGUGGGAGAUUUCCUGUAGGCGUUGUCUUAGAUCCAUUGCUUGACGUUCUGAGUGUAAGAGAGCAAGUGUGAUGCCCAAACUUUCCCAUUUUCCUUCACCUGGUAGCUGUUGCCUGUAGGAAAAGGGGGAGCUCUAGUUGAUGGCUGUGGAAAGUUUUGUUUAUUAUAUGUUGCAACUAUGAUCGCAAGUCAAAUACCCAAAAAAUUACUGGAGUUUGUCAAAUAUACUUUAACACCAGAUUUCCCUUUAAUAAUUUACAAAAACUAAUGUUUUUUGGACACUGCGCACUUCUAAAGGUACCCCUGGCUCCAGGGCCCCUGUCAACCACUAAAAUACCUACCGUUCGGCCAUAGGUUGUAGUAAAUGAAGCCUACCGCUAAGGCCUAUAUCCGAUAAUGGUAAACCUUUAGUUUAAUUAACAAACUCUGUAUUCAAAGAUUCUAGUUCUGAAACCGUGCAUUUCAGAUCCGUGAAUCGAAAACACAAAUCAUUAUAUGUGUAAAAGAGUUCAGCAUGGAGCUGCAACUAUUGGGCAUGAAGCCAAGGAAAGCCCAAAGUAGCUGAUAGAGAAGUUAUCAGCUGCUCUAGUUAAUGUUAGUGCAAAAGAAGACUUAGUUAAGCAGCAUGCUAAAGUGGCAGAAGAAGCCGUUGCAGGUUGGGAAAAGUCAGAAAAUGAGGUUGCAGUUCUAAAGCAGCAACUUGAGGCAGCUGAGCAACAAAACUUGACUUUGGAUGUUCGCGUCAACCAUCUUGAUGUUUGCGAGGGGUGAAGUAGUCUAAUGUUGUAGACUAACUUAAUGUAGACUAGUUUAAUGUUUUGUGGAUGUUUACAAAUGUUGAAGUAGUUUAAUGUUUUUUUGAUGUUUGCAAAGGUUGAAGUAGCUUAAGUCUCUUGUGAAUGUUUGAUUGAUGUUUUUAUUCAACUUUGAAGUAGUUUCAAAUUGAA